UUCGUGCGGCACACUUAUGUGGCGAGUUCCACGUCAUCCGCGUGAGAAGUUAUAAGCCGUCAAACUUCUCCUCGCGCGAUUCUUCACCACGAAACCUAGCCACUCCUCCCUCUCCGAAUCGCCGAACGCGCCUCCCUCUCCGAAUCGCCGAAGCGCCCCUCUCGCCGCAAAUGCGCCUCUCUCUCGCUGAAGCUACGGGACCAGACGUACGACUCUCUCUCGCAGCGAGCCCUUUUCUACCGUGAGCUCUCCCUCGCCGUGAGCUCUCCAAAUCGCCCAUCACCCAUCCCUCUUGCGCCGAAGCUGGAUCUACGACUCUCUCUCUAGCCAAAGCGCCCCUCUCGCCGCAAGAACGCCUCUCUCGCUCUGAGCUCUCCUACGGCGAGCUCUCUCUCACUAGAUCUAGGGUUUCUCACUCUGCAACCUCACUUCGCCGACAAACUCCUUCAUUGGUAAAAGCUCGUAUACUUUGGCGAAAAAUGAUGUUUCUUUAGAGUGACCUCAGUUGCAACUUUGAGAUUUACCUUCCGGCUUUUAUAUUUUCUAGCCUCGUCUAAACCUUCCGGCUUUUAUAUUUUCUUGUAAAACAGAUCUUGCAAUUUUUCUUUUGAACAUCAAAUUCAAGUGGCCCUGCAGCCUCUUCGAUCUGUAGUUUAUUAACUUUUAGAUGUUUGAACAUAGCCUUAUGCAUUAUUUUACUAUUUCUUUCCUGAGAAUUUGCUUAUGUUUAUCAGAAUCACUUCUGUUUUAUAUCGGCAGAAAAGGAAGAUGAAUUUCACUAGUUUUCUGGAAAUGUGUUUCAUUUAGUCUACUCACUUUAUUGAAUAUGCUUUGUGAUAAAUAGAGUACCAUUUACAAUAGUCUAAUGAAUGUAGAAUUACUUCAACCAUGGAAGGAAGCUCCUCUGGAGGGAGGGAGUCAACUUUAACUUUGAUGGUGAGGAAUAUUUGUGGGUGUUAUCUUACAAACUUUGCAUUUACAUCUGUCAAGAACCCAAUGCAGGCUUUUGUCUCUCAUUUUUCUCCUAUUUUAAGUUAUUUACUGGUUCGAUCAAAUUGAUCUAUUACGUUGAAUGAGUGAUUCCAGCCAUUGAAUUUUGACUUGGUUCACAGAACAUGGCGCUUCAUUCUCCUCGAUGUGUAAUUUAAAUUCUUUAGACAUUCAUAGCAUAUUCUUUGUGUGUGAGUGCAACAUGAAAUUUUGCUUAGCUCAUUUUUAAAAUCAGUUCUCAAAAGCUUGUGUUUGAACUGCUUAAUGUUGGAAAAUUUUGGCAAUUUAAAUUUAUAAGAAUUUACAAAUUUUGAAUUUUGAUAAUUUACUAGCAUCAAUUAUCUCAAACAAACAUAUUAUUAUGAGAUAAUAGUGGAAAUGCAUUAACGUGAGAUUUGUUUCGUGGAGAAUAAUCGCGAGGAGAGGUUUGACGUGAUUCUGCAUUCACGGUGAUAUCAACAUCUCACGCGGAUAGUCCACUGGGAUGCAGAUGGUGAGAAGCCACUGGAGCUCAAUAGGAUUCUUAGACCUGGAGGUUUCUUUGUUUGGUCUACAACACAUGUUUACUGCUAAUGAGAGGGACCAAAGCAUCUGGAAGUGUAGUGACAUUUGUCAAUUUCUUUAAAUUUCAUGACCUCCUUUGUCAUCAGCAAGACUACGUGGCUUUCGGGAGCUAGACUAUCUUAAAUUUUUAUCUAGCACCCUUUUAAAUUUUUUUCUGGAUCCGCUACUGACAUUGACUACUUGACGCAAACUUGGUUUGUAAAUGGUUAAAUGUUGUAAUUCUAGAUGUAAACUUGGUUUGUUAAUUUAUAUCAUUAAACACUGUUGAAUAA
Molecule: long non-coding RNA, 1826 nt
Organism: Zingiber officinale
Lineage: Eukaryota; Viridiplantae; Streptophyta; Magnoliopsida; Zingiberales; Zingiberaceae
Exons: 2
Source: RefSeq, a predicted model, not a curated record